GACAAUGGAAAUACUAAUUUAAAAUAAAUAGUCUGGAUACAAAUCAGAAAUACUUUGUGAUUUUAGAUGUGUGGCUUAGAUAUGUUAGCUAGCUAACUAGAUAACCUACCCAGUGCUGUGAUAGAUAAAUUCAUACCAGCUGAACACACACUAACACACACCACCAAAACCAAGUCAGUCUUACUGCAGCGCUGAGAAAGAUUCACCACCCAAAUAAAAGCUGCUCUGUGGUGGUCCUGUGGGGUCCUGACCAUCGAAGACGAAGAACACAGUGAAAGACAGCUAGCUAACACAGAGUAUGCAGAGAAGACUACAAUCUGUAGAACUACAAAGUGUCCCAGAUCCACAGCACAGGAUAAGAGCAAGAGAAUGAUAGAGAGAGCUCCUCUUUGAGCUUCCAGACGGCAUCAUCCCUCAAGUCCAACAGAAUCCAGAAAUCCCAACUCUUCUCUGUCCUGAAAAAUACCUACGAGUUCACGAUGUGAAGGCCUGCUAUGCAUAUCUCUAUGGAAGCUGCUGACCAUCUGAUGCUAUGGGCUAGAGGAACUGGACAAGAGCAGCAGUGUUUGAUUUAAAGCGACAGUCUCCUAACUAAUGACACGCUCCCCAGAGAAGCCUGCAUUUUCUUCUGCUGUUCUGCCUUGUUGUGAAAAACAUUAGAAAAAAGAUGGAACAAGAAUACAGCACACAGGGUGCAGUUUUAAGCAGCUGUUCACUUUCAGACAACCCCCACCCAAACUCCAGACUCCAUAUCCCUGCUUAGUGGAAAAGGUCCUGAGGAUCAGUGGCUAAAAAAACAAAGAAAAGAUUCUGAGUGAAUAGUAAUCAGAUUGUGCUGAUAGAUUUUGUGAUUUUAGCUUAAUUUCCAAGCCAAAUAAAUAAUAUGUGUAUGAUGAAGUAAUGCUCAUCUAGAGUCAUUAACUGUACUUGCCAAGCAUCUUGCUCGUGUUUUUGAGACACCUUCCAGCCAGGAGUUUAAUCAAAUGGAAUCUUUUAUUGUGUGUUUUGUAUUAAAUCUUUCUUUUGUUUUGGGUGAAAAAAUAAUAUAACAUUUUAACUUUUUGCGUAUGAGGCAUAGCUGUUUAUGAUUCUACACAAACUCUGUGCAACAAUAUAGUUUUCAAGAUUUAAUCUAA
Molecule: long non-coding RNA, 1136 nt
Organism: Astyanax mexicanus (Mexican tetra)
Lineage: Eukaryota; Metazoa; Chordata; Actinopteri; Characiformes; Acestrorhamphidae
Exons: 4
Source: RefSeq, a predicted model, not a curated record